RNAcentral lists this long non-coding RNA (449 nucleotides) under Populus trichocarpa (black cottonwood). Its description in RNAcentral is "long non-coding RNA (PTRI_LNC003389)". Lineage: Eukaryota; Viridiplantae; Streptophyta; Magnoliopsida; Malpighiales; Salicaceae. The record is from RNAcentral.
AAGGAUCUUGUCUCUUUGUAAAGGAUGGCAUCCAUAUGAUCAAUGCAAGGAAGCUUUUGCUGGAUAUGCUGGAUUAUGGUGAUGCAGGAGCUAACCAUAAGCAUGACCCCAGGGGGAAAGCUGUUGUUGUUGGUGGCAAGAGCCCUUGACUCCUCUCGAACCAUCAACUCUCCCUCUAGAGGUUUUGUUCGUGCAUGCAUGAGGAGAUGUGUAAUCUUGCAUUUCAAAAUGAAUUUUAUUUAGUAAUGUAUUAUUAUUAUUAUUAUUGUACGCAGCCCACACAAUUGUGGGACUAAGAUAAGAUUUUACGUUGUAUAAUUCUAUGCGUGCAUGUCAGUGCUGAUUUGUGUAUGAACUUCUCAGGCAAUUGCUUAUCUUAUGUUCUAAUAAUAAAUAAUGAAGCAGAGCUGGCUUUUGCUACUUCAUACAAGAGAGUCUCCAGCAAAUGG